GACGGCUGUCUGAGACGGAGCGUCUGCCUCUGCUUUUCAGGCCUGUUUCUGCUGACUGCUGCAGUUUAGCUGAUGUUCCUACACCUGUCUGUUCUCAUGGUGACCUCUGACCUUUGGUGACCUUUAGUGACCUCUGUCCUCCUGUUACAGGUGUGUGUGUGCUGCUGCUGUCUGCUCUGACCGUUUCUACAGCUCCUCCUCCCUCUGAGUCAGUUCUCAGACUCUUCUGCCAUCUAGUGGUCUUCUGCCCGUACUGCACCUCCAAUUGUCUGCUGCUGUACAUCUGCUGCAGCAGGAAGACACCGAUCAAACCAGCCAUCUCCAUGGAGAUGACCCAGUGUGAUGGAGGAGGUCAGGGACUGGAUGAAGAUGGUGAUGAUGUCACUGCUGAUGUCACUACUGAGCAUGCCUUCUGAGCUGCAGACUGUGUGUCAGGGUACCAGCAUCUGCAGUAUUCCUGUAUCUUGAUUCCUCUUUUGCUGUAUUGGAGAAAUGUUCUAGUGUUUACUGUCAGUAUUUAGGUUUGAGUUUAUCACAUCAUCCCUGUUUCCUUGUUUAUAUGUCAUUCCCUGUUUGCUGAGUAAGUCUGUCCUCUGUGUAUGUCUCUUCAGUGAUGUCUCCUCUGUCUCGUCUCCCUUUCUGUUUUGUGUUAUCAUUCCAUGUCUCCUCUGUCUGUAUUGCGAUUCCUGUACAUUCUCCCAGCCCAUCAUGUGCGUCUCCUCCCGUUGUCUUCCAAGUCCGUCUAGUUCUUCCCUCCCGUCUCCUGUGUCAUGUUGUGUGAAUUAGUCUGCGUCAUAGUGUUUCCUGUUUUACUUUGACAGUGUCACGUCCCGUCUUCAGUGUGUAUAGUUUUGCUUCCUCUGUGUCGUGAGGUCCACUCUCUCUAAUUACCCUUGUGUGCUUAUGGUGUGUCUCAUUUCCUCUGUCAGGUUGUCUGUAUUUCCUCUGUGUCUCCCACGUCAUGGUCCAGUUCCCUUGUUCCAGUUUUCUUUGUUAUUUGCUUUACUCAACAUUUACAGCCUCAAUAAAUGACUGGCUUUCUGUUCAACCUCACUCUGGCCUCAGUUGUCUACAUUUGGCUCCUCCUACCGAGUAUAUUUACACCAGCAACACUGUUUAGUUUGAUAUGACGGAUUAACAACAUGCUGUGAUAUCCAGUUCAUCUGUAAUAGAUACUGGAUCUAAUCAGUCAGCAGAUAUUUGAUCAGCUUAUUUAUAACUAUACUAGAAACAAACACAACUGUGUUGGUGAUUCAUGCAAACUUGCAUAUCAGCCUUUGAAGGUUUUGUAGUAUUGAGAACAAAGAGGU
Oreochromis niloticus (Nile tilapia) is the source of this 1310-nucleotide long non-coding RNA. RefSeq lists it as uncharacterized. NCBI's taxonomy places the organism in Eukaryota, Metazoa, Chordata, Actinopteri, Cichliformes, Cichlidae. The record is from RefSeq and is a predicted model, not a curated record. The transcript is spliced from 3 exons.